Molecule: long non-coding RNA, 2688 nt
Organism: Mercenaria mercenaria
Lineage: Eukaryota; Metazoa; Mollusca; Bivalvia; Venerida; Veneridae
Exons: 5
Source: RefSeq, a predicted model, not a curated record
GUUUUAUGUCCGUUAAAAGGAGGGUCAAAGAUUUACAAUAAUUAAAAGGUGUGAUUAUAAAUAAUUUAAGCGGAUUGGCUUUUUAUGAAACUAUAAAAUAUAAAUUCACGAUCACUGCUUGAAUUUAUCUAUAUAGAUUCACAGUGACCUGUGACAUUUGACAUUUCAGGGCCGUAGGAAUAGGGGGUCCAGGGGGAGACGCCCUCCCCCGCCAAUAAUUUGACCGAUUAUGGUAAUUAUCUUAGCAAUGUUUUGACAGCGAGUCAAUUUUAGCUGAUUUUCAUAAUGUGUGUCCCCCAUCCAAAUCUGAAAUGCUUCCUACGGUCUAGGCAUUUACCUAGAGCAUUUUAUUUUCAAGGGAAAUAAUUGUGGUCUGACUAUUAUUUUGAAAAUCACAGUUGAGAUUUUUUUAUGUGUGCACCGGUACAGUUCUGCGGGGAAGCGAAAGUUGCUGGAAUUUUGUCUUCUUCUAAAAACAAGUGUCUGAUACAUGUAGUUGCAGUCUGUCUUUGGAAGCUGUAGAAAUAACAAGAAAGAGGCUGACAUAGUGUUUUGGUAGGGAAAAGUUUGAGUAUGUACAUGUACAAUUGUUUGACCUGUCUUAACCUGUGGCAGUCCGAUAAGAUGUUACCAUUAUGAAAAAUGCAGGAGAACUUGAAGACAAUGGUUAGUGCAGAAGGGACAUAAAAGUUAUGAUAAAAGUAACAUAUAUAAAUAAGAAGUGCUACAAGGGUGUUGUCAUGUGAAAUGGAAUUUACCCCAACUGUGCUGCAUGAUGUAUAUUCAAGUGCGAGACAGUCAUGUACCAGCUGUAAACUGAGAUGGACCCAUAUAAUAAAUAUGUUGAUUUUUCUAUGUAUUACCAUCUGUACAGAAUGUGUUCAUGACAAGACUGUAUACAUAUAUUGUUAAAUCAUUUUUUAUUUCCAUUAUUGCAUGCAUGUAAGAAGCAAGCAUUUAACAAUUACAUUCAUAGAAAUGUUAAAAUGUGAUCAAUCUAAUUUAAAGAAACACAUUUAAUUGGACUUUAAGGUUUCAUAGUAUUUGUGGUGGAGAUUGACCCAGUCAUUCAGCAACUUGUACUGUCUGUGUGUCAUUUCUUGUAUGUUAUAGUUUUCUUAAUAAUACAUUAAAUGUCAAAGUUAUGGUAAGAUUAACUCAUUCAUCACUUGUAGAUUAAUGUUAAAGCAGUUCAACAUUUUACCAUAAGUUAACUAAUAUUCUAUUUAACCAGAGUUGUCACAUAUUUUCAUAUAAACAUUUGUAUAAUACAGUCUAAUCUAAUCUACAAAUGAUGUUCCACAAUUUUUUAGUUAUAUUUUAUGUUGAUAUUUUAUGUUGUUUUCAUGUCUCAACAUAUAAUUACUAACAUCAAAGAAACGUAUGUAUUUUACAAUUUGGUUGGUAUAAAUGGUUGUUUUGUUUAUAUAUAUUUUUUUCCAUCCAGGAGAAUAAAGAAAUAUACAUUUCAAAAUAUCUCAUCAUUCCAGAUAAGUACACUACAUAAUCAAGAUAAAAGAAAUAAAUUUGAUAUACAUUCUUUGUAGUAUUUACUUCUUUAGGUAUGUUGGACUGAAAUGGAAAUAACAACAUACUUUAAAUUUUUGUAGUAAUAAGUUAAUAUGGGAAUUAUUAACUUAACUUAACUUAAACAGAUUUUAUCUCACUGUUAUGCCAUCUGAGCUUUAACAGUUUUCAACAUUGUCAUUGGCAACAAGGCUCAAAAUUAUUUGUUGUGUAUACCUUACAUUCUUUGACUUUGACUUUGACGAAAAUCCUCAACUUCAUCCGCAGGCGGACAUCGUGUUGAGUGGGAGGGGUUAAAAACUGCAACGUGCUGUACAAUUUGUGGGUGUCGGUUGUUCCCAAAAUAAACUCAUUUAUCAUGUGUGAUAAAUGCUUUUAUGGUAUUCUUUAAUAUAAUUUAUGCUUUUCAUCUUACCAUGGAUUAAAAAAAUAUAAAAAUAUUUGUCUGAUAAUAUAAUAUAAGAAAGCUUAUUUGAGAUAAAGGGAGGUAAUUCCAUAAAAGAUAUGUAGAAUGUAGAUAAUAAAUAUAAUGAAGGGAGGUAAUAAAAUAUUGUGAAGUUAUUAGUCUUCAUUUCUUUGAUGAGCUAAUUAAUUGUUUUACAUUUUGGUUUAUUAACUACAAGUAUGACCUAACAUGUGUACCUGUCCUGAAGGUAAAUAAGAAAGGUUGUUUGAUGUCCUUGUACUGUUAAGUUGUUCCUGUAUUUGUUUACAUUCCAUGUCUGAAUGAAAUGAAGAAACAGACUUUAAUGAGGGUAUCCCGGGAAAAUACCUAAGUUUAUUUUUAUAUCAGCAAAUUUGAUGAGAUAGUCAUUCAGGAGUUGUCUAUCCUAUUUCCAAAAAUGCUAUGGGGACUAAAUUUUUUGGAGUAAAUAUCUCUUUUAAAAAAUAACACACAGCAUUUUAAUAUUGUAUAUAUAUUAUCUGAUGCACUUAGCAAUAUAUAUUUGGAGUCAAAAUGUUAAAAAUUCCGGUUUUAAUUUUUUAGUUACAAUGUCUAUACGGUCCUGCAUUUUCGGAUGAGUGUUUAUAAGUAAUAUAUUAUAAGGUUUUCAAACAAAGUAGAAGCGUCAAGUUAUUGCCUUUUUAAUUGACCGGCAUCAAAAUAAUUCAUCUUAUAAAUAAACGAUUAUUAUUAAUUAUUUUUCUGAAGAGGUCAAA